This is a long non-coding RNA of Pomacea canaliculata, 4297 nucleotides long. RefSeq lists it as uncharacterized. The record is from RefSeq and is a predicted model, not a curated record. NCBI's taxonomy places the organism in Eukaryota, Metazoa, Mollusca, Gastropoda, Architaenioglossa, Ampullariidae. The transcript is spliced from 4 exons.
ACCUUCAACACGCAGGCCUUCCCAGUCGACACAAGAGGAUUGAACCCGAGGCGUUCACAAGGGCGUUGUACUUUAAACACUCCUCAACCCUCUUGGGAAGCACACUGCUAAACAGUAGAGUUUCGGCUAUUUACCUGCGCUAACCAAACUUUUCAAGUUGUUUUGCUAAAAACAAAAACUUUUAGAAAUUCUAAGGGGAGAGAGUAAGUGUGCAGGGGUUAUUGUGAUAUUAAAAAAAAAAUCGCCUAAAAGCUAUGAUAAAAGAAUUAUCCAUCCCCCAUCCCCACCAACUUCUAUUAGCUACGCAGAGAUAAUUGGAUAACACAGCUGUCACGCCAGAAUCCAGAUGAACUACCUCUGGUUUGCUGGCUUAAUACUUCUGCUUGAUCCUUUUGCCAUUUGCCUCCUAUAAAACAAACUUACACCUGACAUGUACUAGUCACCUAAGCUGGAAAAAAAUUUUAAAAACUAUGGAAAGAAAGAGUGAAAAUAAAAAUAAAUAAAAGAAAUCAGUAAAGAAACGUUUUUCUUAACGUCAGAUCGUGGUUUGGUUGUUUUUUUUUAAGUUCAUCAGCUGUCGAUAGGAUAAAUCACGAGUGGAUAGGCACUUUCUUCUCAGCCACCGAAGGGAGAUAUUAAAAAAAAAAAACGAUAUCGAUGUCUUUCAAAAUCCCGCACAGUCCUGCUGUCUGCUCAAAGACAGUGCCGCCACCGCAGUCUGCCUCCCCCAGUCACCCUGACGGACCCUCUCUGUCACCCAACCCCAUCCCCCUGACACACACACACAUAUGAUGUGAAUCCCGGCAAUGUAGUCGACCACCAGAAUCAUCUACAUCACCUGCCUGGUAAACACUCUCCCACCUCCCUUCCCGUUCACAAGAACCUCCUCCUCCUCCUGUUCUUGCUACACAUUAUUAUCAUCCUCCGCGCACCUCCACACACACCCCGCUACCCACAUCCCGCCAUCAGUGUCCUAUCCCGCUGGUUCCUCGCUACAAACAAAAAACAAGAAAACAAGAAAUCAACCAUGCUGGGGCUAAGUCUGCAGCUAUAACAGGUUUUAAAGUGUGAUUUUUGAGACUCCGGACAUCGAAAACUACCAGCAGAGAGACAGAGAAACAAUAAUAAAACAGCAUCAUUUCACUCCUUGUUUUCCUCCCACAACCACCACCACCCUUACAUAUAACGGCCCAAUCUUCCAUUACUCACACCACCACCACAUUUUUCCACCGUUCCCACCUUUUCCCCCAAACUCUCCAUCCCAGGGUUUUCUAGAGAAAUUCAAAUGUGUGUGUGCAAGUAAAUCACAGUACUGCGCGGGCGACUUGCAACAGAUACGGACAAGGGGAAGAAAGGAAGGGGGAAGAAAGGGGGGAAGAAGGGAGUGGAGUGGGAAUUGGCAUCAAGCCAUUUAAAACCAUGGCUCCAGCAGGCAAGGUGCAACCGCCGUGAAAGCCAACAACCUGUGCGACGGCAGCUCUGCCGGGUGGACCUUACCUAAACGGCUUGUGUGCAGUUGAUUGCGUUAAGAUGAACAUGCCAACAGCCCACCCGUUCGCCCUGCCCACCUCGCUGCAAGGUCCGGUCCUGCUGCUGGCUACACUGCUCUUCCUCCCGGGGUACCCCGCCUCUUCUCUCAAGCCCAUUCACCUGCAGCGCCGUCACAGCUUCUUCCGCUGUACGGGUUGGGGCCCGGAUGCUCUAACCUGGACUACGCCUUCCAGCCCGUCGGCAAAGCGCCACCUACACACCACAGAGUCUCAUCCGCCCUGGGCUUCCGGCAAGAGUCAAGGUCGCGGUCAAGCAGCGCCCUGCGCCCCCUCGACUACGGCCUCAACUUCUUCUUCACUUCAGCAGGCCAUUCCUGGGGAGCCAGUGGUAAACGGGGGGCACCUUCCCAGAGUGAAUGGAGCAGAGACUCAAAACUUCCCCACUCUGGACAUCUUGAGAGAAGCACGCCUGUUUCACCUUUAUCCUACCAACAAAUGACAUCACCAGACUUCCCACAAUCAGCCUGAUGGCAUUCUUACAAAAGCCUCACACCAAGGGAACACAAGAGGUUUCACGCAACAGAUUUGACUGGAUCACCAAGUGUUUCUAUUACCUUAUGACUGUGAUCUACCUUGCGAAAGUUGCAAAUGUAGAUAUAUACUGGUGACAAAAGGGAUUGGCAAGGACCUCACACAGUUAAGGCUUUUCAGCUUUUCAUGUUACAGCAUUAUAACCUGCUGCACUGAUCACCUUACCUGGAUACAUUAAUGAGAAUUUUCCAUUUUCAGACACCCAGUUUACAUCCUAGUUUAUCAUGCCUGGCAAGACACUUGAAGCUGGUUUCAGAUCAAUUUUUGUAAUUUUCUUCUGAUAAGUAAUUUAAGAAAAUUAGCUGUGAGAUGGAGAUGCUAGCUUUGCAACGUUGCUAAGUUUUUAACAGAAUCAUCAAUAAGAAAAUAGUCCACAGAAAAUUAUUUUAAGGUUGUUCUUCUAAUAAAAACUGACUUUCUAUCAAACAGUUUAUAAUGUGCCAUUAUUCUGCUUUGUAUUUGCCUUAUUUGAGUUAUUUUAUGUUCACAAGCAUCUUUGGAAAAGCCCUUUGAGUGGCUUUGAUAAAAGAGAAACCUGUUUUGUGCUCACAUAAUUUGUGAUAUCUUGUUGCUGGUAAUUUAGCAAGGCAAAAUUCACGAAUCCUAACUUUUACCAUGCAAGCAAUUUUCCUGAAUUACUUUAAAUUUGCUUUCACCACUCCCAUAAAUUCUUUAUUUUAAUAUUAAACAUUUUAUUUUUAUCAACACACAAUUUACACUUUUUGUUGUAUAUUAUUCCCGACAAAAGACAGAGAGCCCACUAUUAAGAGGGGAACGAGAACUGCUCUUAAUGGGAGGCUAGGGAAAAAAAACAUAAGACUAAAAAAGCUGUUUUACUGAAAACAAAGAAGGAUAAACAUUAUUUUUAAAAUAAAAACACUUUUACAGGUGAAACAGUAAAAAACUUUCUUUUCAUUAUAUCAGUUCAACACAUAUAUUUUAUCUAGGACAUCCAUAAAAGAUUUCUGGACAUACCAUUUACAAAGAAGUUGCUGCAUGCAGCAGGUACAACAAACAGGGACAGCAAAUACUGCAUGCAUUUUCUUGAUGCUUAAGAAAUUCAUUGAAUGCUUUGACAUAACUGCUUACCUUAGCAAUGGAGGAUAAGAAAAGUUAAAAUUAAACCAUAUAUGCACUGCCAGUGUUGAAUCAAUUGUUAUAGGUAUUUUCAUAUUACAAUGAUGUUUUUGUUUGUAAGCUAAUCUUACACAGGCUCAUGCUAUGUGUGUUUAAGUGCUUUGUAGAGAUUUCACUAGCUCCACUAAUGAAUUUAGCUCAGAUUGCUAGAAAUUAAUCCAAAACUCCUCUUCUCAUAUUAACUGAUUUUGUAGUAAUACUAGAAGAUAGCAUACUGAAAGAGGAGAAGGGGCAGCAUUUUCUACCCCUCAAAAAGAAAAACGUAUAUCAUCUUUUAUCAUAAAACAUCUGAUUUAGUGUAAAUAAGAUGCUUACUCAAUAGAGAUUUAUAAUUUCCUAUCUUUGAUUUUAAAAUUAAAAGUAAUUGUCUGGGUCUUUUAAAGUUUAAAGUUUUUUUUUUGUUUGCUACAUGAGACAGUAUUGUAAUUGACGGUGACCUGGGAAUCAUUGGUUUGUUUGCCUAGGAAGCCAAUAACACCUGAUUCACCACUGGGACAAACUCUUUUCACUUCUUUUUUGCUGCUACCAUGAUGUUGAACUUGGAUUUAGGAUAUGCAAUGUCAAUGGUGAAUAAAAAUGUCAUAUUCCUUCAUCUUACACUGACAGUUUCAGCGGGGUAAGAGUAAAAUUCAAGGAACUCCUUAAAUUCUUUGAGUUCUUUAAUGUUUAUUUUCCACUGCACUAGCUCUAUUGGAUGACUGAAUAUUUCAAAUUUGCAACAAAAUAUUGACAAUCAUAACUCUAAAAUGCAAUGUUCAAAGGAAACCCAGAAAUGACAAGGGUCCAUCUAAGUCCAGUCAUAUAUACACAUUGAAUGUAAUCUGUUUCCAUGCAUUGUAUGGUAGUCCUUGUUAUCUAAGGUUUCCACAUGCAAUAACAAAAAUCUUCAGACUUAAUGGGCCACUAAGGGAAAAAAGUCAUCAGUUGAAAAUGCUAGACUUUAACCAAGCAGUCCAAAAUCUUAGAAUACAUUUUUCUAAAUCUCUCUUCCUCUUAAAAUACAAAAACAAAACAAAAAAAUAAGUGCACACACACACACACACACACAAAUUCAAAAUAGGCACAAAAGGUGACCAGCU